UCUGCAGAGAGCAAAGGGGAAGUGUCAUUCACUACACUGUUUAAAGCUACCACACAUUCUUGAGCUGUGAAAUACGUUCAGUGCCAGGCUCUAGAUUAAUUUGGAAGAUAGAGAUAUCCAGGCCCUACUUGGCAAAGUAACUUACAGCAAAGGUUUGAUCAGCUGGAUAACAACAUGGAGAUAGAAAAAUUCCAAUCAUGCCAGAAUUCUUACUUUUAAGUGUAUAGAAGUAGAUAACCUACUGCAUUUCUGUCUUAAAAAAAAGAAUGCCAUGUUGAAAUGGAAACAAGUCUAAGAUGGAAAUAGUGAAGAAACUUUGUUUAGGUACUGGGACGUGGUUCUUUAAAGAUUUAUUAGAAAUUAAUCAAACCCCAGUUUGUAAGUGGCUGAAAUGAAUGGCAUUGAGUAGGAUCCCAAAGCACAGUUGAGUAUGGGGAGCAGGAAGAACCUUUUCAUCACUUUCAUAACUUUCACAGGGACUGAACAAUUUUGUCAGUUUUGAUUGCAGAGAAUAAUGAAAACAGAAUAAAGCUGGGGCAGGGUAAACAUUAGAAGCUUCCAUUUCCUAAGUGAUUUCCAAAGCACAGCAUGGACUUCAACCUGUUCAUAUACCUGACUUCAACUUCAGACCAAUACUGUGAUGUACAAAUCUAAGAAGCUAAGUGUCAAGAAACACAGGUAAGCUUAUUCAAUCUUGUGUUAGUUAUUUGUUGCUUUCCUUAUAUUUGAGAUUCUGGAGGAAUGAAAUGUGUUGUUCAUUCAAGGAAUGUGUGUGCAUGAUGGAUUAGAGAAGCUGGUACUAAGUAUGAGCUUUUCACUGGGCUGGAUGUAUAAUACAUAACCAAGACCAUCCACCUUAGGAUAAACAGAUUCUGCUAUUACCAAAAUAAGUGAUAAGCUGUCACAAUCUGGACUUUUUAAAGGUAUUUAACCUGCCACCCAGAUUCAUGGUGAGGAAUCCAGACAAAGGAUUACAGAUUGUGCAAUCAACUUGAAGGAAGUUGGGAAAGCCACCCAGCUCUUUAUCCUUGAUAAAAGGAUGCUCAGUGGGAGCCAGAGGGAUGUGAAUCAGUAGCAGACACUUGAGAAGCUGCCUUGGAACACAAACACCAGGGAGGAUAAUGGGAAGGUAAGAAGUUAACUGAUGUUUUGCUAAACAAGGAAGGUGAUCUGGAUGCUACAUGGGGAGUACACCUUUGGCUCCUUCAGGAAGCAUUCAAUCAGUUGCAGCAGUUGUAGCUGCCAAGUCCAUUAAAUUUGCCUACAGAAGUAAGGCUAAGUAAUAACUUGCUCUGCUAGGCCGUGCUGCUUUAGUUUGGGUACAGGCAGCAGGAAAACCAGCAAGCAAGGAAGGAGGAAAAAGCUUCAUCGCAGAUUUUCUGGCCAAAGGCCAAAUGCUGCAGAAGAGCUGUGCUUAGUUUACUGAAAUGUAAACAUUAGAGCUACAGUAAAAAAAAAGGGCAGAACUCAAAAGGAUGUUUUUUCAAAUAUACAGUAGGCAAAUACACCCAAUUCCUGUUCAUGUGUUAUGCAGGAGAGAGAUUAUGAGAGAUUGCAGCAGUGGGGAAAGAGCAACUGCAGAAGGCCCAGGAGAGAAAAUAAAGUUUUAGAUCAAUGAGCAUUUCAGAUGCUUGUCAGAGAAAAGUGCCAUAUUGAUAUUGUCUUGGCUCUUGUGUUUCCCUGGAUUUCAAAGCUUCUAUUGCUUUAGUCAUGACUGCUGGGAUGAGGAGGCAGGGAGUGGGGAAGAGGAAAUCCUACUUGUGACAGAUGUGCUUAAACCAAUAGGAAAUGGCACAGAUGAGGUUGCAUUGUCACAGCUCUGACCCGGAUCAGGGUAAGCUUGGGCAGCAAGAAAGUUCUUGCAUUGUGGUUUUUGUCCCUGCACUCAGGGCUCUGCCCACACAGAUUUAAUGAGAGAUUUCAGUAGCUGGGACCACAAUGCAAUUUGCAUGGGAUCAAGAGGAAUCCUGGUGAUAGAAGCAGAGCAGAGUUUUGAAGGCAAACUGAGCAUGGAGGGACUGGUAAAGCACACAGGAUGAGAAAUGUUGAGAGGUUAAACAAGAAAGGGCAGGUAGGCCUGGGCUGUGGGCUUGGGGGAGUUGGCAGAAUAGAAAUAUACACAAAAAAGACAGCAGGCAAAGCCAUCAGAGAUACAAGUAAAGGUCAAAACCCAAACAAAAUAGGUGAAAGAGCCAAGCAGGGAAGAAUUCAGACCUGAGGCUUCGGAGGAGGAGAAAGGGGAGGACAAUGUGGUAUUCUGCUGUGAUGGGAUCAAUUAGGUCUUGGAUGGAGGAUGGACAAGGGAGGGAGGAAAAAUCUGCAGGGCUUAGUGCUGCUGUACUUCUGCCUAGUGGAUUCUGCUUAUGAGGAAGCAUCUUAAGUGGAGCAGAGGAGUGCCCCUGUUCUGCACUUAGGUCUGUGCUGUUAUUUCCCAAGGAAGCAGGCUCUCAGCUGCUGUGUGCACCACUUGUCAUCCCCACUGACAGCAUGAAAGGCUCUGCUUUUACUGGGAUGUGAAGCAAGUGCCAUGUGCAGGAGCAACAAGGUGUGAUGGGAACAAGAGCUCUGAGCACAGUGAUUCUCUUUGGCUGCCUUCAGAUGAGUAAUUCCCAAAGCUUAAGUUAAAAACUGAAAAUUAAUAAGAUCUAAUUUUUAACCCUUUUGCUUUGCCUACAGGGAGGCCAGGCUUACCUCUCUAUACACGCUGUGAUAUGUGUAAAUCCAGCACGGCUGCCAAAUACUAUUUUUUCAAAAGUGAUAAGCCAGAACCCAAAGGGCUUUAUGCUUUAUUUGGAUAUUAACAAUAUAGAGGGUGGUCUCCUCACAGCAUUCAGCAACAGAGUUUGUCAGUUUGUCAACUUCUUCCCACAGAACAAAGUCUGAAAGUGUUCUGCAAGCUGAAAGUGCUAAAUACUAUAAAAUUGAAACCAUACUGCUCUGUGGCAGUCAUAAGUGAAUAAAUGAUAUAUCCGUGCAUAUUAGAGGAAGAAAACUGAAGUAAUUCUUACGAAAAAGAAAGCCAGGCAGGGAAAUAGAAACAGGAAAGGCACAAAGCAAAGAAACAAGAGAAGUGAAGCCACUCGUGCACAGCAAAGGGGAAGAAAUAGAAAUUAAGAGAUUGAACAUACUGUUUGGAAUUGAAUAUUGGUACCCCAGUCUUUUAACUACUAUUGCUAUUAAUUAAUUAUGUGCUCUAUUUUCCAGUCGUAUCCCUCAGGAUUUCCCAAGCAUGGCAAAAUACUCUAUCUUGCAAGGAGAAGGAGGGACAAUACCAUGCAGCAAGAUGUGCUGGCAGCAAGACCACAGCUGUCCAUCAGCAGUGGGAGUUCCUGUGUUCUCAUUCCAAAGACAUUAAAUACUGGUAUCAACUUUCCAUAAAAAAGCACAGGUAACUCAGAAAACAGCAUGGAAGAAGCCACGUCUGACUUAGUCUGGUUGCCUGAUGUAGGUCUUUAGCAUGAGAAUGAGUAAAAGACAAGAUGCUCUGGAGAGUCUGUGCAUUGGCCAGUGCUGCAGUCUUUGUUUACCUGUGCAGUACAAGAGCUGUGCAAUGUUUACAGAACAGCCUGUACAUUUUCUAAAAGGAAUGUGAGCACAGAGGUUCAUCAGCCCUGCCUUCCUUUCCGUGUACAACAUCGGUGAGAACUUACACACCACAGACUUGCUAGCACAGCCCCACUGGCUGCAGCAGCAUUACUCAACCUAGAAAUAAUAACUACUUUCCCAAUCAUAUCUCAGCUCCAGGGUGAGUUGCACAAUAUCCUUGCACCCUCAUUUUCAUACUGAGGAAUGCUGGAUGUCUGGAAUGAUAUCUGCAGUGUACCCAGCAGGCAUCUGCCUCUAAGAACCACCAAGGUUGGAAAUAUUUUCUUCUCACACACACUUGUUUGCUUCUUUUCCACUUCUUAUCUCUGCCCUGCAACAUAUUCUUCAUCAUGCUGUCCCUUUUCUGUUUAGCCCUAGUGUGACUUCAGGUAGUUUCAGCAGUGCAGUGAGGGCUGCACUAGGCCACUUUGAUUUACAUUCAUGUUAGAAUAAUUAUUCUAGGUAUUCAAAGCAUCUGACCUACCCAAAGAUGGUUCCAGCUACAUAAAGUAAAAGGAGAAAUAAAGAGGGGGGAAAAGCUGCAGUAGUUAAACUUACUGCCUAAUGGGCUUCUCUCUGCUGUUUUUCUAUGGUGGUAUAACAUAAAGAAAAAACUAACAGAA
This is a non-coding RNA of Taeniopygia guttata (zebra finch), 4208 nucleotides long. NCBI's taxonomy places the organism in Eukaryota, Metazoa, Chordata, Aves, Passeriformes, Estrildidae. The record is from RefSeq and is a predicted model, not a curated record.